This 306-nucleotide ribosomal RNA is filed under the name uncultured bacterium. RNAcentral describes it as "partial 16S ribosomal RNA". It matches the Rfam family "Bacterial small subunit ribosomal RNA", at positions 507 to 809 of the family's 1533-position model. The record is from RNAcentral.
GACAGCAGCAGCCACGGUAAUACGUAGGUGGCGAGCGUUGUCCGGAAUUAUUGGGCGUAAAGGGAGCGCAGGCGGACAUAUAAGUCCAUCUUAAAAGUGCGGGGCUCAACCCCGUGAGGGGAUGGAAACUGUAUGCCUUGAGUGUAGGAGAGGAAAGCGGAAUUCCCAGUGUAGCGGUGAAAUGCGUAGAUAUUGGGAAGAACACCAGUGGCGAAGGCGGCUUUCUGGACGAAAACUGACGCUGAGGCGCGAAAGCCAGGGGAGCGAACGGGAUUAGAUACCCCAGUAGUCCCUGUCUCUUAUACA